Molecule: ribosomal RNA, 324 nt
Filed under: uncultured eukaryote
Lineage: Eukaryota
Description: partial 18S ribosomal RNA
Rfam family: Eukaryotic small subunit ribosomal RNA
Source: RNAcentral
CCCUUAGAUGUCCUGGGCUGCACGCGCGCUACACUGAUGUGUCCAGUAAGCACCUAACCUCUUCCGAAAGGAACGGGUAACCUUUGCAAAGCACAUCGUGAUGGGGAUAGAUUAUUGCAAUUAUUAGUCUUGAACGAGGAAUUCCUAGUAAGCACAAGUCAUCAGCUUGUGUUGAUUACGUCCCUGCCCUUUGUACACACCGCCCGUCGCUCCUACCGAUUGAAUGUUCCGGUGAGCUCUUCGGACUGCGCUGUCUGCAGUUUCUGCGUUCCGUGCGGAAAGUUGCGCAAACCUUAACAUUUAGAGGAAGGAGAAGUCGUAACA